RNAcentral lists this ribosomal RNA (726 nucleotides) under uncultured fungus. RNAcentral's name for it is "SSU rRNA". It matches the Rfam family "Eukaryotic small subunit ribosomal RNA", at positions 333 to 1063 of the family's 1831-position model. Lineage: Eukaryota; Fungi. The record is from RNAcentral.
AUAGAGGCCUACCAUGGUGGUAACGGGUAACGGGGUGUUAGGGCACGACACCGGAGAGGGAGCCUGAGAAACGGCUACCACAUCCAAGGAUGGCAGCAGGCGCGCAAAUUACCCAAUCCCGACACGGGGAGGUAGUGACAAUAAAUAACAAUACGGGGUUCUUUCGGAUCUCGUAAUUGGAAUGAGUACAAUUUAAAUCUCUUAACGAGGAACAAUUGGAGGGCAAGUCUGGUGCCAGCAGCCGCGGUAAUUCCAGCUCCAAUAGCGUAUAUUAAAGUUGUUGCAGUUAAAAAGCUCGUAGUUGAAUUUCGGGGUUAGUAGGUUGGUCAUGCCUCUGGUAUGUACUGGUCUCACUGAUUCCUCCUUCCUUAUGAACCGUAAUGCCAUUAAUUUGGUGUUGCGGGGAAUUUGGACUGUUACUUUGAAAAAAUUAGAGUGUUUAAAGCAAGCUAACGCUUGAAUACAUUAGCAUGGAAUAAUGAAAUAGGACGUUCGAUCUUAUUUUGUUGGUUUCUAGGAUUGACGUAAUGAUUAAUAGGGAUAGUUGGGGGCAUUAGUAUUCAAUUGUCAGAGGUGAAAUUCUUGGAUUUAUUGAAGACUAACUACUGCGAAAGCAUUUGCCAAGGAUGUUUUCAUUAAUCAAGAACGAAAGUUAGGGGAUCGAAGACGAUCAGAUACCGUCGUAGUCUUAACCAUAAACUAUGCCGACUAGGGAUCGGAUGAUGU